Molecule: long non-coding RNA, 1129 nt
Organism: Raphanus sativus (radish)
Lineage: Eukaryota; Viridiplantae; Streptophyta; Magnoliopsida; Brassicales; Brassicaceae
Exons: 7
Source: RefSeq, a predicted model, not a curated record
AGAGCUCGCAUUUCACCUUCCCGUAACGCUUCAACCUUCAUUAUUACGUGCUUCACUCCUGAUUUUCAGCGUAAUUAUCCCACUACUCCAACUGGGCAGCAUUCAAUCGACCUCUUCGCACCCCCAGUAACCGGAGGAAAGGUCGACUAUAAAUACCCCAUCUUUCGACGAUGAACACCAGAACUCAGACAAGAUCCAGAAAAAUAGUUUGUUUAGGCAAUCGAUUAUGCACAGCUGGAGGAAAAGAGAAGUUUGAUAGGCGAGUCUUCUUAAUGUAAUUAGAUAUAAUGAUUGUAUGUAUUCUAUUUCGUUGACUGCUCAUUCUCAUUUCCUUACAGAUUCCAGUUGGUGGGACAGAUUAGUCAGUGUCUUCAUCAAAGGUGAUUCACGCACAGGAAAUUGAGCCCCUCAACGUUUCUGAUCUUAACCAAUUUAUUAUCACUACUGCCCUCAGAUCACUGAGUUUCUCUGUAUGGUAAAGGAGCCAUAAGCACGGUUAACAGCAGCUGAAGCACUAUCACAUGCAUGAGUGAGAGAUUCUAAUAGACAUAUAUGCUCUUGUCAACAUACUUCAGUUUCUGAAGUUAGCCAGCUUAGCAGAUUGCUUCGAAGGUUCUGGAGACGACUAUUGAUGAUGAUGAGCUGGACGAUCUCAUAGAUCAGUUUGAUGUCAUUAACAUUGACAAGAAGGAGUUCAUUAGUCUUGUGGAGAUGAGGCAGGCUCUUGCGGAAGAUCUUGCUGGAAGCUCAAUGAUACAAGAUUAGCUGCGAUUCUUCAAGCAGUAAUCAACUGGAGGAGCAUGACUCUGACCAGUGGGAGCAGAGGUCAAGAGCAGCUUUCGAGAAUUUUUACAUGGCCAAAGAUGGGUUUAUAACACCUGAGGAACCAGAAUUGAACCGGAAGUUGAUGAGGAUCGGAGAAUCAGCAUCCAUGAGUUUCGCAGACUCUUGAGAUCUGCAAUCGCCAAGUCAAAACUAUCAAAACAAUCCUGGUUACCAGCUUUCUCAAAAAAUGUAAAUCACCAAAAGUAAAUAGAUAUGAAGAUUAGAUUUUAUACUCAUAAACAAAAAAAAAACAUUUUUUACAAUUGCCAUAUGAUUCAAGAAGAUCUUAUACAGGCUACAUGUG